UGCUUUUUCCUGUUAAGCCACAGUUAUUCUGAGUUUUAGGUCAUUUGCCUCUUUGCCAACUCAAACUAUUACAGAAAUUUACGUUAAUUGAGGGGUCAACAGAAGCCUCUAGGAGGGAGAAAGAUCUUAGCCAAGAUCUCAAGGACAAAAAGGAACCAGGCCUAGAAAAAGCAAGAGAAAAAAACAAUCCUGGCAUAAGGCACAGCUUAUGCAAACAUUUUGAGGCAGGAAAGAAUACAGUAUCUGAGAAGAACUAAAAGAAGGCCAGUAUGGCUGAUAAUUUGUGAAAGAGGUGGGGAGUGGUACAAGAUAAGAUUGUAGACAUAGAAAGGGGUCAAAUCAUAAACACUAGGAAUUUAGAUUUUACUCCAAGUAUGAGAGGAGGCCACUGAAGGAUUUUAAGCAAGGAAGAGCUUUGAUCCAAUUUGUACCUCCCCUUGGCAGCUGUGAAUGACUGCCCCCCAGAGCCUGACUUCCAGUUGCCCCCCUCCAGCCUCUUUUGUUGAUGUAACCUGAGCCCCUCCGGUAGUCCUCUUGGACAAGCUUCCUCCCAAGACACCUCAGAGGUUCUGAAAACCAUCCUCGGUUUUGAUAAUUUGGUAAAAAUAUCCACAGAAUUCAUUGAAAGGUAUUAUACUCAUGAUUAUGGUUUAUCAAAGGAAAGAGAUACAGAUUUAAAUUAUCCGAGGAAGAAAUGCAUAGGGUAGACUCUAAGGAAGUACCAAAAGGAGAGCUUCCAAUGUCUUUUCCCAGAGAACUCAGGACACAUUGCUUUCCCAACAUCGAUGUGUGACAACAUGCAUGGAGUAGCACCAACCAGGGAAACUUGCCCAAGACUCAGCGUUCAGAAUUUUUAUUGGGGCUCCAUUAUGUAGGCAUGAUCUAGUGAUUAUGUACAUGAUUGAUCUCAGUCUCCAGGUUGAGUGAUACUGCAUGACCCAAAGACCUGUCAUAAAUUACAAAUGUUGGACUUGGGCAUGGUCAGCCCCACCCUAAACCAUACUGUCAGAAUAUCCAGUAUGACCUCUGGCCCCAGACAAAAAAAUACAAUCUUAUCAGAUACAACAGUCCACAGAUUGCUUAGAGAUUGCUUCCCAGAAGCCAAGGGCAAGUAUCAGACCCCUUUUUGAACCAGGUUAAAUUCUACAUACCUGCCCAGGACUUCUCAUUUCAAGGUCCAGCUGGGGAAGAACCCACUUCCCAAGCUCACUCAUGUGGUUGUCAGCAGGGUUCAGUUCCUUUGGACUGUUGGACUGAUAGCCAUAGUUCCCCACUGGCUGUUGACCAGAGUCUGCCCUCAGUUUUUGCAUGUGGGCCUCCCUAAUAUGGCAGUUUACUGCAUCAAAGUGAACAAGUCGAGAAGGCAAGAGGGAGAAACUGCUAGUGAGAGUGCUGGCAAGAAGGAACUCACAGUCUCUUGUAACCUAAUCAUGGAAGGGAUGUGCCAUAACUUUUCAACUUAUUCUAUUCAUUAGUAGCAAGUCAUUAGGUUCAGCCUACACUCAAGGGGAGAAGAUUACACAAGAGCAUGAAUACAAGGUGGCAGAGAUUAUUGCGAGCCAUGUUAGAAGCUGCCUACCACAGAAGGCUUAGGGAAAGAAGACAAGGAAAAGGAAGAGGCUGAAGUUGAUAUGUCAGAGAGAAAACAGAUGAAAGAAAGCAAAAACUCCCUCAACUUUCCACCAUCCAGUUCACCAACUUCAGCUAUCUUUAUCUACAUACCUUUCACUCUUUCUAUUCAUAAAAAUUGUC
This 1752-nucleotide long non-coding RNA is filed under the name Equus caballus (horse). RNAcentral describes it as "lncRNA (ENSECAG00000047373.1)". The record is from RNAcentral. Lineage: Eukaryota; Metazoa; Chordata; Mammalia; Perissodactyla; Equidae.